GGCCGCGGGAAUUCCAUUAAGGCCUAACACAUGCAAGUCGAGCGGGGGAGAUUCCUUCGGUAAUUGACCUAGCGGCGGACGGGUGAGUAAUACUUAGGAAUCUGCCUAUUAAUGGGGGACAACAUCUCCAAAGGGAUGCUAAUACCGCAUACGCCCUACGGGGGAGAGCAGGGGAUCACUUGUGACCUUGCGUUAAUAGAUGAGCCUAAGUCGGAUUAGCUAGUUGGUGGGGUAAAGGCCUACCAAGGCGACGAUCUGUAGCGGGUCUGAGAGGAUGAUCCGCCACACUGGGACUGAGACACGGCCCAGACUCCUACGGGAGGCAGCAGUGGGGAAUAUUGGACAAUGGGGGGAACCCUGAUCCAGCCAUGCCGCGUGUGUGAAGAAGGCCUUAUGGUUGUAAAGCACUUUAAGCGAGGAGGAGGCUCCUGUAGUUAAUACCUACAGAGAGUGGACGUUACUCGCAGAAUAAGCACCGGCUAACUCUGUGCCAGCAGCCGCGGUAAUACAGAGGGUGCGAGCGUUAAUCGGAUUUACUGGGCGUAAAGCGUGCGUAGGCGGCUUUUUAAGUCGGAUGUGAAAUCCCCGAGCUUAACUUGGGAAUUGCAUUCGAUACUGGGAAGCUAGAGUAUGGGAGAGGAUGGUAGAAUUCCAGGUGUAGCGGUGAAAUGCGUACAGAUCUGGAGGAAUACCGAUGGCGAAGGCAGCCAUCUGGCCUAAUACUGACGCUGAAGUACGAAAGCAUGGGGA
Molecule: ribosomal RNA, 750 nt
Filed under: uncultured bacterium
Lineage: Bacteria
Description: bacterial SSU rRNA
Rfam family: Bacterial small subunit ribosomal RNA
Source: RNAcentral